This is a non-coding RNA of Hydra vulgaris (swiftwater hydra), 658 nucleotides long. The record is from RefSeq and is a predicted model, not a curated record. Lineage: Eukaryota; Metazoa; Cnidaria; Hydrozoa; Anthoathecata; Hydridae.
UUAUUACAUCCAAGUCAUUAAUAGUUCUGUAUAGUUAUAUCACAUCACCUCUUGAUCUUCUAAUUUUUAACGUGGAGAGAAAGGUUUACCAGUGAGUUUUUACAUAACAAAUCUUUUAAACUAUAAACACGAGUUGCUCUAUGUUGGAGUUUUUCAAUCAUAUUAACAUGUUUUCGUUUAUGCAAACUCCUUAAUGGGGUUCAAUAUUCAAGGUGAGGUCUAAAUAAUGAUGUACUAAUAAUGUUAUAUUUCUUUUAUCUAAUAAUUUCAAUAAGUGUUUGAUUUGCCAUAAUGUCAAAUUUCCAAAGUAAUUUUUUCUCCAUAAUUUCAUUUUUAAAACGCUUUCAUGAAAAGUUAUAAAGAAUUGUCAAUAAUGAUGCUAUUAACCUGAUUUUUGUUUUAGAAUACAGAAUGUUUUUUUAUAUAUUUUCUUUUAGUAUGUAUGCUCCAAACUUUUUGGAUCUGCGAUAAUGAAACUCCAUUCCCUAGUUAAAACGGAUGCAAGCACUAAAGAAGACAAAAACGUUACAAAUUGAAGCAGAAACUUUUCAACGAAUCAUGUUGACGAUUAGAUAUGAAUUGCAGAAAAGCACCAUUGUUGAAUGAUUAUGAAUGAAAACUUUGUAUUAUAAUUGCGUAAAUAUAUUUUAAAAUUUAA